CCUACGGGGGACUGCAGUGGGGAAUUUUGGACAAUGGGCGCAAGCCUGAUCCAGCUAUUCCGCGUGCAGGAUGACGGCCCUACGGGUUGUAAACUGCUUUUAUACGGGAAUAACGCGCCUUACGUGUAGGGCUUUGCAUGUACCGUAUGAAUAAGGACCGGCUAAUUCCGUGCCAGCAGCCGCGGUAAUACGGAAGGUCCGGGCGUUAUCCGGAUUUAUUGGGUUUAAGGGGAGCGUAGGCCGCAUGUCAAGCGUGCUGUGAAAUGUCCGGGCUCAACCCGGGCCUUGCAGCGCGAACUGGCGUGCUUGAGUCCGCGGAAAGCAGGCGGAAUUCGUCGUGUAGCGGUGAAAUGCUUAGAUAUGACGAAGAACCCCGAUUGCGAAGGCAGCUUGCUGCAGCGGAACUGACGCUGAUGCUCGAAAGCGCGGGUAUCGAACAGGAUUAGAUACCCUGGUAGUC
Molecule: ribosomal RNA, 460 nt
Filed under: uncultured bacterium
Lineage: Bacteria
Description: partial 16S ribosomal RNA
Rfam family: Bacterial small subunit ribosomal RNA
Source: RNAcentral